RNAcentral lists this ribosomal RNA (642 nucleotides) under uncultured Microbacterium sp. RNAcentral describes it as "bacterial SSU rRNA". It matches the Rfam family "Bacterial small subunit ribosomal RNA", at positions 897 to 1533 of the family's 1533-position model. Lineage: Bacteria; Bacillati; Actinomycetota; Actinomycetes; Micrococcales; Microbacteriaceae. The record is from RNAcentral.
AAACUUAAAGGAAUUGACGGGGACCCGCACAAGCGGCGGAGCAUGCGGAUUAAUUCGAUGCAACGCGAAGAACCUUACCAAGGCUUGACAUACACGAGAACGCCCUAGAAAUAGGGAACUCUUUGGACACUCGUGAACAGGUGGUGCAUGGUUGUCGUCAGCUCGUGUCGUGAGAUGUUGGGUUAAGUCCCGCAACGAGCGCAACCCUCGUUCUAUGUUGCCAGCACGUCAUGGUGGGAACUCAUGGGAUACUGCCGGGGUCAACUCGGAGGAAGGUGGGGAUGACGUCAAAUCAUCAUGCCCCUUAUGUCUAGGGCUUCACGCAUGCUACAAUGGCCGGUAACAAAGGGCUGCAAUACCGUAAGGUGGAGCGAAUCCCAAAAAGCCGGUCCCAGUUCGGAUUGAGGUCUGCAACUCGACCUCAUGAAGUCGGAGUCGCUAGUAAUCGCAGAUCAGCAACGCUGCGGUGAAUACGUUCCCGGGUCUUGUACACACCGCCCGUCAAGUCAUGAAAGUCGGUAACACCUGAAGCCGGUGGCCCAACCCUUGUGGAGGGAGCCGUCGAAGGUGGGAUCGGUAAUUAGGACUAAGUCGUAACAAGGUAGCCGUACCGGAAGGUGCGGCUGGAUCACCUCCUGUCUG